UACGUAGGGGGCAAGCGUUGUCCGGAUUUAUCGUGGCGUAAAGAGCGUGUAGGCGGCCUGGUAGGUCAGCUGUGAAAACUCGAGGCUCAACCUCGAGACGCCGAUGGAAACCAUCUGGCUAGAGUCCGGAAGAGGAGAGUGGAAUUCCCGGUGUAGCGGUGAAAUGCGCAGAUAUCGGGAAGAACACCCGUGGCUAAGGCGGCUCUCUAGUACGGUACUGACGCUGAGACGCGAAAGCGUGGGGAGCGAACAGG
RNAcentral lists this ribosomal RNA (254 nucleotides) under uncultured bacterium. RNAcentral describes it as "partial 16S ribosomal RNA". It matches the Rfam family "Bacterial small subunit ribosomal RNA", at positions 524 to 776 of the family's 1533-position model. The record is from RNAcentral.